AUGAAUGGGACUCGUAGUAAGCCGUUCGUUGUGAGAGUUACAGCAGGAACGGCACCACUCGUUCGUUGCUCGCCUCCGCUUCUGCCUCCGAUUCCCACCCAUCGCGCCACCAGUCCAUCACCACUCCCAGAAAACCCUCCACCUCGCUCGGGCGUUGGUGCUCGCCCGAUGAUCACGUUCGCGGACCUGACGGAGCCGGCGCCGGGCGCCGAGCGGCGCGUUGACCGGCAGCUGUGGCUGGCGUGCGCGGGCGGCAUGUGCACCGUGCCGCCGGUGGGCUGCACCGUCUACUACUUCCCGCAAGGCCACGCCGAGCACGCGCUUGGCCUCGACGCCGGGGCCGAUCUCUCCGCGGCGCGCGUCCCAGCGCUCGUGCCCUGCCGCGUCGCCGCCGUGCGGUACGUGGCCGACACGGACACCGACGAGGUCUUCGCCAGGAUCCGCCUCGCCCCACUUGGCGCCACGGACGCGGAUGGCGAUAUCCAUGACGAUGCCGCGGCGGCGGCUGAUGACGAGCAGGAGAAGCCGGCGUCGUUCUCAAAGACUCUGACGCAGUCCGACGCCAACAACGGCGGGGGUUUCUCGGUGCCGAGGUACUGCGCUGAGACCAUCUUCCCGCGGCUGGACUACGCCGCCGACCCGCCCGUGCAGACCGUCAUCGCCAAGGACGUGCACGGGACUGCGUGGAAGUUCCGCCACAUCUACCGGGGCACCCCGCGGCGGCAUCUGCUCACCACGGGCUGGAGCGCGUUCGUGAACCAGAAGAAGCUCGUGGCCGGCGACUCCAUCGUGUUCCUGCGCGGCGACGGCGGGGACCUCCACGUGGGCAUCCGGCGCGCCAAGCGUGGGUUCUGCGGUGCCGAGGAGGGAUCCUUGUCUUUGACCGGUUGGGGCCGCUAUUCGGGUCCGAUGCGAGGCAAUGCGAGCCCGUGCACCCGGGGCAAGGUGCGCGCUGAGGACGUGGUCGAGGCGGCAAGGCUGGCGGGCAGUGGACAGCCGUUCGAGGUCGUGUACUUCCCACGCGCCAGCACACCGGAGUUCUGCGUGCGCGCCGCAGCAGUGCGAGCGGCGAUGCGGGUUCAGUGGUGCCCCGGGAUGCGGUUCAAGAUGGCAUUCGAGACCGAGGAUUCGUCCCGCAUCAGCUGGUUCAUGGGCACCGUCGCCGGCGUCCAGGUCGCCCACCCCACCCGCUGGCCGCAGUCGCCGUGGAGGCUUCUUCAGGUGACGUGGGACGAGCCGGACCUCCUCCAGAAUGUGAAGCGGGUCAGCCCGUGGCUGGUCGAGAUCGUGUCGAGCAUGCCGGCUAUGCACCUCGCCUCCUUCUCGCCGCCGCGCAAGAAGUCCCGUAUUCCGGCUUACCCGGAGUUCCCCUUCGAGGGUCAGCUCCUAAACCCGUCGUUCCCCCCAAACCCAAUGGCGCACGGCCAUCGGCGCCAUUAUCAUCACACCGACAGCUACCAUCCGUCCUUCUCCCCCUUCCCGGAUUGUAGUGCUCCUUCAGGCAUACAGGGAGCCAGGCAUUCGCAAUUUGGUCCAUUUUUAUCGGAUCUCCACCUUACCCACCUGCAGUCAAGACUCAUGUAUCCGGGGCUUCGCUGCCACGAUCAUGUCAGUCCUGCACCAAUCCCGUCAAGAAUCACCACUGACCUGACCAUCGGGAGCUCACCGGCGCGCAACGGCGUCUCAACCACUCUGCCUGCCAGCGCCAAGAGGCCCAACGACGCCAAGCCGCCGGGGCUAGUGCUCUUCGGACAAACCAUACUAACGGAGCAGCAGAUGAGCCGUGGCGACUUGGCAGGCGUGAGCUCAGCCGCGGCCACCGGGAACAGCUCGCUCAACUGGAACACCGACAAAGCGGGCAAUGCAUCGCAGGGCUCGGGCUCUACUGUCGUUCAGAACAGUGGCUCGACUGAUAACACAUCGCCGGAGAGACCGCGGCGGUUUGGAGACAAUAGCCACGUCUCCGAGCUCGGGUUGAAGCCCGGGCAAUGCAAGGUGUUCGUCGAGUCAGAUACCGUCGGCCGGAAUCUCGAUUGCUCGGCGAUGAGCUCGUUCGAGGAGCUCUAUGGCCGCCUGUCCGAGACGUUCUGCAUUGAGGGUGCGGAGCUGAGGAGCCGUGUGCUCUACCGUGGCGCCGACGGUGAAGUGAAGCACGCCGGUGACGAGCCUUUCAGCGAGUUUAUCAAGUCGGCACGGAGGCUUACCGUACUGACAGAUGCUGGGAGCAACAACACGGCGAGCUAG
This 2244-nucleotide ribosomal RNA is filed under the name Triticum aestivum (bread wheat). Its description in RNAcentral is "partial small subunit ribosomal RNA". Lineage: Eukaryota; Viridiplantae; Streptophyta; Magnoliopsida; Poales; Poaceae. The record is from RNAcentral.